GCGAGGAUGGCGGAACUGGCAGACGCGCCAGGUUUAGGUCCUGGUGGGCAUUGUCCGUGGGGGUUCGAAUCCCCCUCCUCGCA
Molecule: transfer RNA, 83 nt
Filed under: Deltaproteobacteria bacterium
Lineage: Bacteria; Pseudomonadati; Myxococcota; Myxococcia
Also listed under: 1 other name
Description: tRNA-Leu
Rfam family: tRNA
About the family: Transfer RNA (tRNA) molecules are approximately 80 nucleotides in length.
Source: RNAcentral